This 253-nucleotide ribosomal RNA is filed under the name uncultured bacterium. Its description in RNAcentral is "partial 16S ribosomal RNA". It matches the Rfam family "Bacterial small subunit ribosomal RNA", at positions 524 to 776 of the family's 1533-position model. The record is from RNAcentral.
CACGGAGGGUGCAAACGUUGCUCGGAAUUAUUGGGCGUAAAGCGCACGUAGGCGGUUUGUUAAGUCGGGUGUGAAAGCCCCGGGCUCAACCCGGGAAGUGCAUUCGAAACUGGCAAGCUUGAAUAUGGAAGAGGGUCGCGGAAUUCCCGGUGUAGAGGUGAAAUUCGUAGAUAUUGGGAGGAACACCGGUGGCGAAAGCGGCUCCCUGGUCCGAUACUGACGCUCAUGUGCGAAAGCGUGGGGAGCAAACAGG